Molecule: long non-coding RNA, 281 nt
Filed under: Mytilus galloprovincialis (Mediterranean mussel)
Lineage: Eukaryota; Metazoa; Mollusca; Bivalvia; Mytilida; Mytilidae
Source: RNAcentral
GUAGUUUUACGUUAACUUUACAGUUGUAACAGAUGUAAUUUUUCGAGAAUGAAAUCAGUUGAAUUGUUGAUGAAUUCGUGAAUUUGUGUAAUGCAAAAUUUACAAUAAUGGUAAUAGUUGCAGCCUUUUUUGCCUGGAUAAAACUAAUUCCUUGGCGAUUCCCUUUACCUAAUGUUUAAUACGAGUUAUAUGUUCUUUGAAAAUGUUAUUUGCGAAUUUCGUUUAUGAAUUAAAGAAAGAAUCAAAGGAUUUUUGUCAGCUUUUUCUCGUCUUAUCCGUAU